RNAcentral lists this long non-coding RNA (263 nucleotides) under Manihot esculenta (cassava). RNAcentral describes it as "long non-coding RNA (MESC_LNC002416)". Lineage: Eukaryota; Viridiplantae; Streptophyta; Magnoliopsida; Malpighiales; Euphorbiaceae. The record is from RNAcentral.
AGCAAAUAAAUUAUAAAGCUUUUAGCAUGUUCAUGCAUCAUGAAUGCCAUGUGAUGAAUUAGGUUGUUUGCAUUAGAAUUCACGAAUAUGUUGCAUUGCAUUUAUGAUGUUGUUGUGGAUUGGUUAUUGGAUGAUCCUUUAGUCCUCAUAUGUUAUGAUGAUGUUACGGCAUGAUAUGGUAUGGAAGUCCAGGUUGUACCCAUUCUACGUCCCUGGCACUAUGUAAGAGAAAGUCCAGGUUGUACCCAUUCUACGUCCCUGGC